CCUACGGGAGGCAGCAGUGGGGAAUCUUGCGCAAUGGGCGAAAGCCUGACGCAGCCAUGCCGCGUGAAUGAUGAAGGUCUUAGGAUUGUAAAAUUCUUUCACCGGGGACGAUAAUGACGGUACCCGGAGAAGAAGCCCCGGCUAACUUCGUGCCAGCAGCCGCGGUAAUACGAAGGGGGCUAGCGUUGCUCGGAAUUACUGGGCGUAAAGGGAGCGUAGGCGGAUAGUUUAGUCAGAGGUGAAAGCCCAGGGCUCAACCUUGGAAUUGCCUUUGAUACUGGCUAUCUUGAGUACGGAAGAGGUAUGUGGAACUCCGAGUGUAGAGGUGAAAUUCGUAGAUAUUCGGAAGAACACCAGUGGCGAAGGCGACAUACUGGUCCGUUACUGACGCUGAGGCUCGAAAGCGUGGGGAGCAAACAGGAUUAGAUACCCUGGUAGUCCACGCUGUAAACGAUGAGUGCUAGUUGUCGGCAUGCAUGCAUGUCGGUGACGCGAGCUACGACAUAAGUACACCUCCGCCGUCGGGGUAGGGUACGGGUCCGGCGAACGAAGUUAAAACGUUAACGUAAAGGUUAAAGUUAGUACGGUUCGUUGAGACGUUGCCGACGGACGACGACGAGGGGAGGAGG
Molecule: ribosomal RNA, 629 nt
Filed under: uncultured bacterium
Lineage: Bacteria
Description: bacterial SSU rRNA
Rfam family: Bacterial small subunit ribosomal RNA (bases 1-517)
Source: RNAcentral